UCAGGACGUGGCUGAGACAGUCAAGCAUCUCCCUUACACUGAGAAGACAUCCAUGCAAGUUGGAUCGCCCUGAGC
Molecule: transfer RNA, 75 nt
Filed under: Wallago attu
Lineage: Eukaryota; Metazoa; Chordata; Actinopteri; Siluriformes; Siluridae
Description: tRNA-Val
Rfam family: tRNA
About the family: Transfer RNA (tRNA) molecules are approximately 80 nucleotides in length. Their secondary structure includes four short double-helical elements and three loops (D, anti-codon, and T loops).
Source: RNAcentral